GGGAAAAUACCUUUUCAAUUUUUCAAGAGUGGUGUCCAUUUUCAAAAGAGAAUUAGAGAAGAGAUUCAAAGAAGGGAGAAAGAGCAAAGAAUUGUACAAAUAUAUACAAAUAUCAGUUAUUAUGGGAAACUAAAAGAACCGACUUAAGUCACGGAGUACCGUUAUCCGCCAUUUAACCGGGGUGAGAGAGAGACUAGCAAAACCAAAACAAAACAAAACACAAAACAAUGUGAGAAAAAGAAUCAAUCUUUAUAUAUAGGAUCACUCAAUUCAAUAGAGUCAUUUUCAACUGAAAAAUUGUCCAAAUAAACUUUCAAACAAUGCCCAUUUACCUUGAAAACAUUGCCAUUCUUUGGAUUCUC
This 362-nucleotide long non-coding RNA is filed under the name Populus tremula. RNAcentral describes it as "long non-coding RNA (PTRE_LNC000733)". Lineage: Eukaryota; Viridiplantae; Streptophyta; Magnoliopsida; Malpighiales; Salicaceae. The record is from RNAcentral.